RNAcentral lists this microRNA precursor (61 nucleotides) under Chrysemys picta bellii (western painted turtle). Its description in RNAcentral is "Cpi-Mir-9594_pre stem-loop". The record is from RNAcentral. Lineage: Eukaryota; Metazoa; Chordata; Testudines; Emydidae.
ACAGUGUAAAUCGGCAUAGCGCUUUUAACUUCAGUGGAUCUGUGCUAAUUUACAUCUGCCG